GCUCUUUUAGUUUAUGUUAAAAUGUAAUUUUGAAGUGAUUGAGAAGGUUUGGGGCG
This 56-nucleotide transfer RNA is filed under the name Passalurus ambiguus. RNAcentral describes it as "tRNA-Phe". Lineage: Eukaryota; Metazoa; Nematoda; Chromadorea; Rhabditida; Oxyuridae. The record is from RNAcentral.